GACGAACGCUGGCGGCGUGCUUAACACAUGCAAGUCGAACGGAAAGGCCCUGCUUUUGUGGGGUGCUCGAGUGGCGAACGGGUGAGUAACACGUGAGUAACCUGCCCUUGACUUUGGGAUAACUUCAGGAAACUGGGGCUAAUACCGGAUAGGAGCUCCUGCUGCAUGGUGGGGGUUGGAAAGUUUCGGCGGUUGGGGAUGGACUCGCGGCUUAUCAGCUUGUUGGUGGGGUAGUGGCUUACCAAGGCUUUGACGGGUAGCCGGCCUGAGAGGGUGACCGGCCACAGUGGGACUGAGAUACGGGCCAGACGCCGACGGGAGGCAGCAGGGGGGAAGAGUGCACAAUGGGCGGAAGCCUGAUGCAGCAACGCCGCGUGCGGGAUGACGGCCGUCGGGUUGGAAACCGCUUUCGCCUGUGACGAAGCGUGAGUGACGGGAAUGGGUAAAGAAGCACCGGCUAACUACGUG
RNAcentral lists this ribosomal RNA (468 nucleotides) under uncultured bacterium. RNAcentral's name for it is "partial 16S ribosomal RNA". It matches the Rfam family "Bacterial small subunit ribosomal RNA", at positions 28 to 507 of the family's 1533-position model. The record is from RNAcentral.